This 325-nucleotide ribosomal RNA is filed under the name Hovops sp. MR47. RNAcentral's name for it is "partial 12S ribosomal RNA". The record is from RNAcentral. Lineage: Eukaryota; Metazoa; Arthropoda; Arachnida; Araneae; Selenopidae.
AGGUAGUAAUAUAAUAAAUAAAACCUAUUUAUUUCGGCGGCUUUUCAUCUUAUUAGAGGAACUUGUUAAUUAAUCGAUAAUCCACGAUAAUUUUCACUUAAUUCAUAAAAUUUAUAUACCGCCAUCUAAAGAAUAAAUUUAUAAAUAUUCUCUUAACAAAAAAUAAAAAGUUAGGUCAAGGUGUAAUCUAUAUUUAAGAAUAAAAUGAGUUACAUUAAAAACAAUUUAAGGAAAUUGAAUUUUAAAAUUUAAAAAAAAAAGGAUUUAUAAGUAAUACAAACUUCAUAAUAAUAAUAAUUUUAUAUGAAUCAGAUAAUAAAAGUGU